CAAACAUGCAGGUCAGCCAGCUGGCAAGCACUGACCGGACCAAGAGCCUGAGGGACCAGGUAACUCGGUUGCUGACAUCUCUGCACAAAGUUGAGCAGGAGAAGCAGCAGGCAGUGGAUCAGC
RNAcentral lists this non-coding RNA (123 nucleotides) under Ctenophora environmental sample. The record is from RNAcentral. Lineage: Eukaryota; Metazoa; Ctenophora.